This 1430-nucleotide long non-coding RNA is filed under the name Homo sapiens (human). Its description in RNAcentral is "HSALNT0199903". Lineage: Eukaryota; Metazoa; Chordata; Mammalia; Primates; Hominidae. The record is from RNAcentral.
GCCAGAUCACAGUGAAUUUUAUUUAAUUACGUGCAACUUGUUCACUUAUACAUUUUCCUCUGUUGAGACAAUCCAGAAGCUACUCAGGAUACUUAUUUGCUUAUUCCUCUAAUUAAGCAAAGCUAUCUAUAGCCUAGAAUGCUAAUCUAAAACUGCAUUUUGUUUCUGCAGCAAUGAUCUCUGUCCAACCCCACAGCACAUUCCGGCAUUUGCACUGUGCCGUGGACGCCGCUGCAUUGUGCAUGCUCCAGGCUAUGUUUGUGGACAGUCACGUCGCCGCGGAAGUCAAGCUCAUUUGUCAUCCUUGCUAGGCACUUGCAGGGCUGCCUGAAGAGAAAAAUAUCUGAAAGCAGGCAGUGACGAAGGAAAAUCAGCCCUGACUCUCUUGUCUCGUACUUAAAUAUGAUUCUUAAUGGACCUACAUUUCAAACUCCUGGAUCCCUUCUCAAGCUCCAAGUGCCUUAAGUUUGAGUUGACGUGGCGAGUGUGGGAGAAAGUAAGAAACAUUAAAUACUUGCAAUUUACACUUUGGGAGUUUCCAAAAUUCAACUCAUUCAUUUUUUUUUCCAGCAAAUAUUUUAUUGAGUGUCUGGUCACCACCUUGUGUGCUGCUCUGAAAACCUGCUAUAACUGCACAAAGGUGGCAGAGCACAUUGCUCUUAAUUCCCAUGGCUUUCUUGGGAAACUGUACACUACCACUGCAGUCACAAUAUGGUCUUCCUCUCUUCCCAGCCACCCCCACCAUAAAGCUACCUGAAAUAAGGGCACAUUACAUAUUUUCUGAUGGUCUUUCCUCUGUAGAGAAAUGUAGAUCCUGGAUAAAGACCCUUGGCAAGGACCUUUUUCCUCUGCCUGAUAUUUGUAUUCAAGCAAAAUAAUGAUAGUAAGAGUAAGCAUUUAGAAAGUGUUGACUAUGUAGCCUAGCACUGCUCCGACACUUUACGUUUAUUAAUAGACGACUGAGGCUAGCUUUGAUCAAUAAAAUCACGUGAGUAGGCACAUUUGCCACUCGGUGGUACAAGAAGGAGUCCCUAUGGCAUCGCAUGACUGUCCAUGGAGUUUCCAGAGAGGUGAUAACUGAUGCUGUGAACUCCUGGUUUCCAGGAAACGGCUCUAAGCUUGUCUCUAAGGUAUCUAAACAAAUAUUUUAUUAUCUUCUGGGAAUUCUGAUCCUGCAACCUAAAUCAAAGAUCCCAAACACUAAAUCAAAUUUUUGUGGCCUUCAAAGCUUAAUAUGAAAAUUACCAGUGAUGUUUUUCUUCCCCCAUAAUAUGACAUUAGGAGCUUAGUAAUGCAUAUCUAGAUGUGAGUUGACAUUUACACUUGUUAUUUGUUGGGAAGGAUGAGUAUGCUUCAUAAUUUAUAUGUAUCAAAUAUCUUCAUUUGUGUAAAUCAAAGAGUUACUAAUAAAAAUGCUAAGAGAAGCUGGA